UGCUAUUACUUAGACGCGAGAACCAGUGACACCAUAUGCUCAUACCAAAUUCAAACUCCACAAAUUGAAACACAUAACACUCAGGAUUGAAGUCAAAGGUUGUAACGGGCUUGGGGUGUUGGCUAACAAAUGAAGGAUAGGGAUAACAAACGUUCUUAAAGCAAUAGCAAGAAAAGUAAUGAAAUGGAAACUUAGAAUUCACUUAGAUUGCAGUAAUCAACUUUUAAACACGAAGGGAAGAUUCAAGCAAUAUUUAGGGCCGAAUUCAAUGUUUUGGACCCUUUCUUCAACAAGCAACACUUUAAAACUCUUUUUUCACAUAUUUUUCAACUCCUUUUCUUUUCACAGCUCUUCUUCUUUUCAUUCUAUUUUUCACGAAUCUUUCUUUUCUACUCGUGCCUUAUGAAUGAUUUUGGCAUACACACACACACACAAGAAUCACUUCCCCCACACUUGUUUUCUGCCAUACAUUAAUCAAAAGGAAUUCAAUUUGACUCAUACUUCACUAUGCUUCAAGAACAAGGGUGGAUGGUCCUAAACUAGGAUAGGUAAGGAUAAUGUGGUUUAACAAAGAAUGUAGGCUAUCAAGGCUCAAUGGGGUUAACUUAAACAUAUAACG
This 619-nucleotide long non-coding RNA is filed under the name Malus domestica (apple). Its description in RNAcentral is "long non-coding RNA (MDOM_LNC012742)". Lineage: Eukaryota; Viridiplantae; Streptophyta; Magnoliopsida; Rosales; Rosaceae. The record is from RNAcentral.